CUAAAGGGAAACAGCCCAGACAGAGUAAGGUCCUAAAUAAUGUAAGUGAAAUAAGGUAGUUCUAUUAAAUACGACUAGAAAGUAGGCUUAGAAGCGGCCAUUUUUUGAAGACCUCGUAACAGAGCACUGGUUUAGUAAGUAGUUAACUAUUUACAUUGAUAGAAGCACCGAAAAUAUAUCGGAUCUAAACAAUAUACCGACACCUUGUUCAUGUUUAUAAAUAAAGAAAAAAAUAAAGUGGCCAACAAAGUAAGGCUUAACCUGCCUCUUGGAUGCCUUUUUCUUUUUAAGGCAGGCCUUGCCAGCAGGCAGGCCUUGCUUCGCCCAAAAAAAGAGCAGGCAGGCUUUUCCAGCUGGCAGUCCCGUAAGGGUAAGGCUUUGCCCUUGAAUGCUUCGCCCAAAAAAAAAGAGAAGGCUAACCUGCCUCAACUUGCCGGCAAGUAAGGGUAAGGCCUAUUUCUUAUUAAAGGCCUUGCUUCGCUAGAAAGUACUAGCCGGCAAUAAACUAAUAAUAUUAGUUUUUAUUUAUAAAUAAGAGGUAGCAGAACGUUAGGUAGAUCUGACGAUUAAUCUUUUCAAGAUUAAAGAGACAAUAUCCUAAGUGAUAAUGCUGACAUGAGUAACGAUAAAGGGCUGCUCAUAUUACAGCCCUCGCCUAAAGCUUAUGGCUAUAUUAAAGUAACGGCCUCUAAGUUUACACACCUAAAGGAUUAAACGAU
This 719-nucleotide ribosomal RNA is filed under the name Cyclaneusma minus. Its description in RNAcentral is "partial large subunit ribosomal RNA". It matches the Rfam family "Bacterial large subunit ribosomal RNA", at positions 1012 to 1419 of the family's 2925-position model. Lineage: Eukaryota; Fungi; Ascomycota; Leotiomycetes; Marthamycetales; Marthamycetaceae. The record is from RNAcentral.